Molecule: long non-coding RNA, 1710 nt
Filed under: Cucumis sativus (cucumber)
Lineage: Eukaryota; Viridiplantae; Streptophyta; Magnoliopsida; Cucurbitales; Cucurbitaceae
Description: long non-coding RNA (CSAT_LNC002796)
Source: RNAcentral
UGUUUACCAAAUCAUUCGUUCUAUCUUUGUCGAGCAAAAGAGAAUUGCUAAGCUCUUGCAGCUCUCGCAGGUAUUGCUGAUCUUCCGGGUUUAACAUUUAUCUGCAUAAUAAGAUUUUAGUAAUUCAAACAAAGGCCUAAACCAUAAAUCUUCCCUAAACCCUAAAGAGUUGGUGAAAGGUGGAAUUCCACGGAUAUAGAAAAACAAGAAUAAUAAACUGAAGACAAGAGAGGUAAUGUGUUAACCACUAUAAAGUUUCUAGAUUAACAUGCUAAUAGAGAUUAUGAUGUAAACCCACAAAAGAAUAGCUUUCAUCUAAAUCAAGUAGUCUACUCCACCAUGAUUAUUAUUAUUACUAUUAUUUUUUUAGAUUCAAACUAAACAAUUGAUACACUCGACUACGAUCACCUACAGAAAUACACGAAAGUUGACGAGCAACAACAUAACAGAAGAAGCCAACAAAGUUAAAGGCAGAAAAUAAUAAGGAACCUCACUCACCUGAUGAUGGAAGGGACAGACGGGAGCCAAAGAUAGCAAGGAAAGGGUCAAAUGCAAGUGAGAUGAUGCCGUUUCAUCUAAGAAUGAUCAAAUACAAGUGAGACCUCACACAAAUUCAAGGAAUAAUGUCAGUUCAUUAAAAAAGUAAAACUAAAGUAAAUAUGAUGAUAAAUAAAUGUGCAACCAAAAAAUGGGAAUCUUUCUUCCAGACCAAAUAAAAUUAACAAAAGGUUCUUACUUUAAAAACUCUUCUUUUGCAUAAAACAAUUAGGAGAAAAACAAACCCCUAUUCCAAAAAUGGAAACUGACAAUUGUCACAGCAGCUAAAUUUCCAGAGAUGUCAACAAAUAAGCCUAUCUAAAAUCUUCCAUACUAAGGCUCAAAUUUUUUUCCAUUUUUGCUGUGAACUGCAGAUGAGUAAGGCAAUGAUGAGCCGUUGGAUUUCUGACAUUUAUGGACAGAAAAUCAACAGAUUUGAUUAAAUUAGUUUACACGAGCACUGAAAGUGGGGAACUUGAAAAUUAAAAAAAUGUUUACGGCUGAUUGUAUCACUGAGCCCCAGUGGAGUGGCGCCAACAUUAAUGAUUCCGGCUUUAAGAAUUUGGCGAAAUCAUCGGCGAUAACGGAUGGAGUUCAAGUUCCCUUUUCUUUUUUCUACUCUUCAAUUUUAACUUCAUCAAUUUUCUAGCAGUAGCACCUCCAUGGAGCUCGAGAGGGCAAUAACUUUCAAGCGCCAAAACAAAUUUAAGAAAAUCCUUUUUUAUUUUUCACAUGUUCAAGAGAUAUUGAUAACUUAUAUUAUUAGUUUCAAUCCUAUUAAUAGACUAAAUCUUCAGAAAUGUUAAAAGUUUUUUCGUCAAUAUUGUUUAAUGUGAAUUGAUUACUCCUUUACUCGAUCCAACUUACCUAGUCCUUCCUUCUCACAAGAUAAAAUGCUUGAGAAUCAGCCCAAUUUUUCUUAAUCCACAAAAUGGCAGUAGCUAUAUAGACAUUAUACACACUAAACAAAGAAACAAUCCUACUUAAAAUGGAGGAGUACCUCAGUCAUAAUGCCACAAACCCUGCCUCGAGCUAAACAUAACCCAAAUGACCAAGGAACCUCACAAAUUCAACUUAACAGAGUCAUAGAACCAAUGGAACGACUUGUUGGCUGAGAACACAGCCAUUUAACACAAUUUCAAAUUUAAAGUAUACCAACAAUGUAUUUGUGGG